RNAcentral lists this small RNA (381 nucleotides) under Pan troglodytes (chimpanzee). RNAcentral's name for it is "processed transcript". The record is from RNAcentral. Lineage: Eukaryota; Metazoa; Chordata; Mammalia; Primates; Hominidae.
CUUCGCCACGGCCCUGAAGAACCUCUACAUGAGUGAGGUGGAGAUUAACUUGGAAGACGCACUGGGAGUGCUGGCUUCCGCCCACAUCCUCCAGUUCAGUGGCCUGUUUCAAAGGAAUGAAAUGCAAAUGGGAGGAUUUCUACCACUGGGAGAGACUUCAUGUGUAUACACAGUGACUUCCUAGUAGCCCCCAAACCAGGCUUGCUUAUCAAUUUCACCUCUUUUCAUUGUUGGCUAAAAGAAAAAAAAAAAAUCUCUCUCCUUUAAGUCAUACACACACACAGAAGCUGGCCAUUGGAGGACAAGCUGACUUUUCCAUCACUGUUAGGCCUACAUUUUCCUGCUCAUUUGAGAUAAAGUCUUGUUUUUUCUUGUAAACAA